UACAGAGGUCUCAAGCGUUGUUCGGAUUCAUUGGGCGUAAAGAGCUCGUAGGCGGCUCUGUAAGUCGGGUGUGAAACCUCCAGGCUCAACCUGGAGACGCCACCCGAUACUGCUGUGGCUUGAGUCCGGUAGAGGAGCGUAGAAUUCCUGGUGUAGCGGUGAAAUGCGCAGAUAUCAGGAGGAAUACCAGCGGCGAAGGCGGCGCUCUGGGCCGGAACUGACGCUGAGGAGCGAAAGCGUGGGUAGCAAACAGG
Molecule: ribosomal RNA, 254 nt
Filed under: uncultured bacterium
Lineage: Bacteria
Description: partial 16S ribosomal RNA
Rfam family: Bacterial small subunit ribosomal RNA
Source: RNAcentral